This 76-nucleotide transfer RNA is filed under the name Salinihabitans flavidus. RNAcentral describes it as "tRNA_Val_TAC". It matches the Rfam family "tRNA". From Rfam's summary of the family: Transfer RNA (tRNA) molecules are approximately 80 nucleotides in length. Lineage: Bacteria; Pseudomonadati; Pseudomonadota; Alphaproteobacteria; Rhodobacterales; Roseobacteraceae. The record is from RNAcentral.
GGGUCGUUAGCUCAGUCGGUAGAGCGCUUCGUUUACACCGAAGAUGUCGGGAGUUCGAGUCUCUCACGACCCACCA